CGAACGGGUAAGUAACGCGUGAGGAACCUGCCUCAAAGAGGGGGACAACAGUUGGAAACGACUGCUAAUACCGCAUAAGCCCACGGCUCGGCAUCGAGCAGAGGGAAAAGGAGCAAUCCGCUUUGAGAUGGCCUCGCGUCCGAUUAGCUAGUUGGUGAGGUAACGGCCCACCAAGGCGACGAUCGGUAGCCGGACUGGGAGGUUGAACGGCCACAUUGGGACUGAGACACGGCCCAG
RNAcentral lists this ribosomal RNA (237 nucleotides) under uncultured bacterium. Its description in RNAcentral is "partial 16S ribosomal RNA". It matches the Rfam family "Bacterial small subunit ribosomal RNA", at positions 99 to 334 of the family's 1533-position model. The record is from RNAcentral.